AUCUGCAUGGAACAAUGCUGCUUCUCUGCAUGACUAGAGUUUGUUUUCUCUUUGAAGAUAAUCUCACUAGGAUCAAGACCAUACCUGCUGGAGAGUCAGGACUCUGGAUUUCUGAUUGUUUUCAGGACAGCUACCCUCAUCCUAGGCUGAUCUGAGUUUCUGGGUCUUUCUCUGCCUGUUCUUUCCUCUCCCCUUCCCUUCCCUGCUGCAGAAAGUGUUUUAUGUGGGUGUCAGCAACAUCAGGACCUUUCAAGCCCCUUGCCCCAGUAUCAUCCCUGAAUGCAAAACUCACUCAGAGGCCUGGGGAAGAGAUUCGAACUCUGCUUUUCCUCUGCCACCUCAGGUGUGUUCCAGCUUACAAGACACUUUCACAGAAAAAAAGUUCAGGGAAUGGAAUUGGAAGGCAAAAAUAGCUGCUCGAUGCUGACUUGGCACAUUUGACUUUGACCAAAUCAUCCAGCGCCUCGUCCUUAGUACUCUGGUUUCCACAGAAUAAUCCUCAUGCAGUGAGUAGUGGAAGUCAGGAGGAAUAAACUGCCUAGAUGUCAUGAAGGGAAAACAAUGCACAAUAGACUUGUGCAGAAUCUAUUCCUGUCCGUUUCCCUGUGAAUCCAGAUUGCUGAACACUGGCCGAUGUCUGAGCUGUGGUUUCCCCCUGGAUUUGAAAUUUAGUUACUAGAAGACAAUGCUUUUGAAUGGCUUCUUGGCCAUGACUUUCACAGGGCCUGCUGGCUGUUGCCUGAUGAUUGUCUGAUAGGCCUAGCCCCUUGGCAAAGCAAUGUUUCAUUUGCAAAACUACGCUUGUCCGGUGCCUCCUGGGAACUGAAAGCCUGGCAUCAGCAGAGGAACGCAAAUUGGGCAAAUCACGGAUCUCCCAGGCGUGCGUUGCUUGGGGGCCAUGGUACACAGCACUGCUAAAAGUCUAGGACAAUCUAUGUGUUUUAGGAGCAAACCAGUGCCUUGCACUUCUAAGCUGUAUCCUUUGCUCCCUCCCUGAGAGGCAGCCGUGUGCUCUGGGCUUCCUAGCCUUGUAUGACCUCUGAAAAUAUGACCUGAAGCAGAUGGAUGCACUCACAUAAGAAACAUCACCUGUGGCCUUCAUCGAAAAUGGGCCUGCUGCUUGAAGAAGUUGGGCUCUUGGAGUUCUCUAGCACAGGGGCCAUGAAAAUCAAUGACUUCCUUGUUUGCUGACGGAGCAGAGGUAGAAUCUCUUGGUGUUUCCACGGAGAAAACACUGACCAUGAAGAGCCAAGAAAGAUGACAUGAUGAAGCCAUCAGGGGAAGCACCAAACAUCCUCAACUCUGCUCACCCAUGGUUUUCUCCCGCCCUCCCAGAGCUCCUCCUGCGUGAGUAAUGCAGUGUGUGCUGGUGCAGUGUCUCACUGAAAAAAGAAAGAAACCCUGAUUUGCAGCAUUGGCCAAUUUCUGUAGUGUAAAUACUCCCACCAUAGCAGAUUUCAGGUUACCAAGGGUUUCACAACUGGUUCACAAGUCUUGACUGUAAUGACCAGCUCAUGCAACUCCAGCAUCUCAUCAUCUCCGCCCUGUCCCAGAAAAUCCCCACAUCACACCCAGGCUGAAUAUCACUUUCAGCUUCUCAGUCAGAAGGAGAAGUGGUUAACUAUGCCAGGAUGGUAAUGACUAAAUAUCAGAAUGGUGAGUGUGGAGGGUCAGGAUGUCUGCCAAAUUGGAGAUGACUCUUCACUUCUCAAUCUUGGUGUCUCAUCUGGGGAAGCUGGAGGGAGACAUGCACAGCUUCUCAUGAACAGUCCUGGAAGCCCUUACCCCAAGGCCUCAUGGGGCUCUCUCCAGGGCUUGCUCUUUGUCACUCCUUUAAAAGCCUGUCAUUCAUUGCCAGAGAACAGAAGACUCCAUCCUAAGGCCAAGUUGAAAACGGCAGGCUUGGGAGCUGUCUAGACUCUGGGUCCUGGCUUUUGUCUUGGCUGGUGUCAAAAUGGACUCUUUAAAAACUGUCCUCAGGAAGAUUCCCCAUCCAACUCUGAACAGCCUGGACUGAUCUUUUUCUGAUUUUUAGGGGUCUUGUGAACAAGAGUCAGGUGGGCGGGCAGCUCUUGUAAAGCUGAACAUAACCAAAUUUGUCCAUAGCCUGUGACAGCAAAGAUCACAAAAUUCUUCCCUCCCCUUUAGGGCCUGGGAGUGACGCCGAACCAAGGGGAGGAUAGUGACCUAUUUUAUCUCCCAAACAUUGGGCAGCCAGUUGCAUUUGCAGAUUUAAAAUCCACCCACACUACUGCAGUUUCUGUUCUCCUGCCCCCCCGAGCAUACUUCUGGCUGGAGCUGGUUUUGUAAAGUGGAGUUGGCUGUGGGUGUGGGAGUCCUCCUCGGAGAGCCUGGUCUGACAGCCCCAGUCAACAGCCCUCCCAUGGGCAUUUGGGCUGCUCCAGUCCCGGCAGGUGCACAGCUCAGGGGAAUCUGGUUUUGUCUUGGUCUCAGCCAGGGAAGUCUAGUUAAAGAAAGAAAAGGUUGGCCGGGUGCAGAGGCUCACACCUGUAAUCCCAGCACUUUGGGAGGCUGAGAUGGGCAGAUCACGAGGUCAGGAGUUUGAGACCAGCAUGGCCAACAUGGUGAAACCCCGUCUCUACUAAAAAUACAAAAAUUAGCUGGGCGUGGUGGCAGAUGCCUGUAAUCCCAGCUACUUGGGAGGCUGAGGCAGGAGAAUUGCUUGAAACCAGAAGGUGGAGGUUGCAGUGAGCCGAGAUCGCGCCACUGCACUCCAGCCUGGGCAACAAGAACAAAACUCUGUCUCAAAAAAAAAAAAAAAAAAAAAAAGGUCUCGGUGGAAAUGGCCUUGAAUCUGGGGUCUCUCUCAUAUUCUAAUCACUCAAUCACUUAACAAAUACUUAUUGAGGGCCUACUAGGUGCCACACAUUGGAAGACAGUGGAGGGUGAAGCAGAGUCUGCCCUCAGGGAGCUUACAGUUUAGAUUACAGGCAAGACAGCCCUUACACACAUAAUUCCAGAUGAGUCAAUAAUGACCAGGGUGCAGAGGCUUUGAAGCAGAAGCAUAAGGUGCAAUGGGAGCAUAAAACAGGGAAGCCUAAUGCAGACUGAGGGGCCUGAGGAGGGUUCCUUGAGAAAGUGAGGUUGAAGCUGAGAACCUGAGGAGUGGUUUUCACGCAGUGCAAUUGAAGGUUGAAAGGGAAGAUCCUCCAAUGCACAAAGAAUUCAUGCUUCAGAAACAUUCUCUUCCUGAGGAUACAUUUGGGAAUUUAGGUAGAAAUUAACUGUCUUGCCUUCAUAUACAGUGUAGUGGAGACCACUGUAGGUCUCCAACUUUUUGUCUUUUCUUAAUAACAAGUCCCCAGUUUUUGCUAGGUACAUAGCUACCCAGAGAAAAGAUUAUGUGGCCACCUUACUAUGUUCUGGCCAAUGAGAUGUCAGCAGAGGUAAUAUGCGGGGCCUCUGAGAAGGCCCUUUCCUGCUACCUGGUACCUGGCUGGAGGCUGAAAAGCCAUUAGGGACGAGACAUGCUAAGGUUGGAGGGUCAGCGUAUUACAUGGAGCCUCCUUCCCUGAUGGCCUUGGGCUGCCAUACCAGCCCUGGAUUGCCUAAUUCCCGACUUCUUUUGUAAAAGGGAGAAAUAAGGGUCAAUUUUUAAAAAAGCAUCUAUUACUUUGACAUUUUCUGUCACACACAGCCAAAUAUAAUCCUAACUACUAUACACAGCUUCUUUUCAGCUUAAUGAAAAGAUCAUUGUUCUGCACUACACAUAAAUUACCUAUUUUAUAGAAAAGUCUGUGAUUACAAUAGCUAUUUUCCCAGCCUCCUUCAUCACCUCCUUGAUCCCCUUAUCCUCCCCUCGGCCCUGCACCUCCUCUCUUUCCUGACUCCCACACCAGAGCUAGGCCUGCCCUGGGCACUUUUGCCUCCAGGAAUGAAUGAGGCUCACAGCCCGAAGGUGCUCCAAGUCUUGGCUACCUUCCCUCAGUGGCUGCCCUGGCAAAGGUCCUGCCGCAGGGAAUCACACAAAGUCCAGCAAAGCAACUGGUCUUUCCUGUCCAUUCUCACCCUUCCCAAGAAAGUGUGAAGAGUUACAAUACUCAGGCAGAGCUGGAAAAAUCAUACCCUUUUAGAGAAUCCACAAGAAUUAUUGGAGGUGCUUUCACUGACCUGCCCUGCCUUGGGUUUUUCAAGCUACGCAGAUGGGUUUUUCAAGCUACGCAGAAUUUAAUGGAUCUGUUUCCCCAGCCUCUGGCUAACCAAAUCCAAAACAUCAAGAGUCAAGGGGAGAAGGUCAGCAUGUUUAGUUACAAACCUUUGGGGCUGUCUGGGGUGAUUGCAGGCCUCAGCAUGCUGGCUUUGGGUGCGGUGAGGCUGGGGAUGCAUAGAAUUCUGUCCCCUCUGCCCCUGCCUCAAAAAAAAAGUUGAAGGCUUAAACCCCAGUACCUCAGACUAUGGCCUUAUUUGGAGAUAGUCUUUACAGAGGUAAUCAAGUUAAAAUGUGGUCAUUAAGGUCAGCCCUAAUCUAAUAUAACUCCUGUCCUUAUGAAAAGGGGAAAUUUGGCCGGGUGCGGUGGCGGCUCAUGUCUGUAAUCCCAGGACUUUGGGAGGCCAAGGGGGCGGAUCACAAGGUCAGGAGUUUGAGACCAGCCUGUCCAAUAUGGUGAAACCCCAUUUCUACUAAAAAUACAAAAAUUAGCCAGGUGUAGGGGCACGCGUCUGUAGUCCCAGCUACUUGGGAGGCUGAGGCAGAAGAACCCGGG
Molecule: long non-coding RNA, 4724 nt
Filed under: Homo sapiens (human)
Lineage: Eukaryota; Metazoa; Chordata; Mammalia; Primates; Hominidae
Description: HSALNT0210734
Source: RNAcentral